AAAUAGUCUUUUUUGCCGUCUUGGUCGGUGCCCCGAUUAUUUGUCGACUUGUUUGUCUAUUGUUGUGUGUUGGCUCAACGAAUUAGGAGCCGACACAGAAGUGGAAGAAGGUGGAAAAAAA
Non-coding RNA from Caenorhabditis elegans, 121 nucleotides. The record is from Ensembl. NCBI's taxonomy places the organism in Eukaryota, Metazoa, Nematoda, Chromadorea, Rhabditida, Rhabditidae.